UACGUAGGCAGCAAGCGUUGUUCGGAAUUACUGGGCGUAAAGAGUGUGUAGGCGGUGCUCCAAGUCUGGUGUGAAAUCUCCCGGCUUAACUGGGAGGGUGCAUUAGAAACUGGAAUGCUAGAGGAUGGGAGAGGUAAGCGGAAUUCCUGGUGUAGCGGUGAAAUGCGUAGAUAUCAGGAGGAACAUCUGUGGUGUAGACAGCUUACUGGACCAUUUCUGACGCUGAGACACGAAAGCGUGGGUAGCAAACAGG
Molecule: ribosomal RNA, 253 nt
Filed under: uncultured bacterium
Lineage: Bacteria
Description: partial 16S ribosomal RNA
Rfam family: Bacterial small subunit ribosomal RNA
Source: RNAcentral